UACGAAGGGGGCUAGCGUUGCUCGGAAUCACUGGGCGUAAAGGGUGCGUAGGCGGGUCUUUAAGUCAGGGGUGAAAUCCUGGAGCUCAACUCCAGAACUGCCUUUUGAUACUGAAGAUCUUGAGUUCGGGGAGAGGUGAGUGGAACUGCGAGUGUAGAGGUGAAAUUCGUAGAUAUUCGCAAGAACACCAGUGGCGAAGGCGGCUCACUGGCCCGAUACUGACGCUGAUGCACGAAAAGCGUGGGGAGCAAACAGG
This 256-nucleotide ribosomal RNA is filed under the name uncultured bacterium. RNAcentral describes it as "partial 16S ribosomal RNA". It matches the Rfam family "Bacterial small subunit ribosomal RNA", at positions 524 to 776 of the family's 1533-position model. The record is from RNAcentral.